ACAGGAUUAGAUACCCUGGUAGUCCACGCCGUAAACGAUGUCGACUUGGAGGCUGUUCCCUUGAGGAGUGGCUUCCGGAGCUAACGCGUUAAGUCGACCGCCUGGGGAGUACGGCCGCAAGGUUAAAACUCAAAUGAAUUGACGGGGGCCCGCACAAGCGGUGGAGCAUGUGGUUUAAUUCGAUGCAACGCGAAGAACCUUACCUACUCUUGACAUCCAGAGAACUUUCCAGAGAUGGAUUGGUGCCUUCGGGAACUCUGAGACAGGUGCUGCAUGGCUGUCGUCAGCUCGUGUUGUGAAAUGUUGGGUUAAGUCCCGCAACGAGCGCAACCCUUAUCCUUUGUUGCCAGCGAUUCGGUCGGGAACUCAAAGGAGACUGCCGGUGAUAAACCGGAGGAAGGUGGGGAUGACGUCAAGUCAUCAUGGCCCUUACGGCCAGGGCUACACACGUGCUACAAUGGCGCAUACAAAGAGAAGCGACCUCGCGAGAGCAAGCGGACCUCAUAAAGUGCGUCGUAGUCCGGAUCGGAGUCUGCAACUCGACUCCGUGAAGUCGGAAUCGCUAGUAAUCGUGGAUCAGAAUGCCACGGUGAAUACGUUCCCGGGCCUUGUACACACCGCCCGUCACACCAUGGGAGUGGGUUGCAAAAGAAGUAGGUAGCUUAACCUUCGGGAGGGCGCUUACCACUUUGUGAUUCAUGACUGGGGUGAAGUCGUAACAAGGUAGC
This 728-nucleotide ribosomal RNA is filed under the name uncultured bacterium. Its description in RNAcentral is "bacterial SSU rRNA". It matches the Rfam family "Bacterial small subunit ribosomal RNA", at positions 772 to 1500 of the family's 1533-position model. The record is from RNAcentral.